AUGAACGCUGGCGGCGUGCUUAACACAUGCAAGUCGCACGGGAAACCUUUUAUUGAAGCUUCGGCAGAUUUAGCUGGUUUCUAGUGGCGGACGGGUGAGUAACGCGUGGGUAACCUGCCUUAUACAGGGGGAUAACAACCAGAAAUGGUUGCUAAUACCGCAUAAGCGCACAGGACCGCAUGGUCCGGUGUGAAAAACUCCGGUGGUAUAAGAUGGACCCGCGUUGGAUUAGCUAGUUGGCAGGGUAACGGCCUACCAAGGCGACGAUCCAUAGCCGGCAUGAGAGGGUGAACGGAGACAUUGAGACUGAGACACGGCCCAGACUCCUACGGGAGGCAGCAGUGGGGAAUAUUGCACAAUGGGGGAAACCCUGAUGCAGCGACGCCGGGUGAAGGAAGAAGUAUCUCAGUAUGUAAACUUCUAUCAGCAGGGAAGAUAGUGACGGUACCUGACUAAGAAGCCCCGGCUAACUACGUG
Molecule: ribosomal RNA, 477 nt
Filed under: uncultured bacterium
Lineage: Bacteria
Description: partial 16S ribosomal RNA
Rfam family: Bacterial small subunit ribosomal RNA
Source: RNAcentral